CAAUAUUCAACAAUGAGUCACAGUUGCGAAAUCAUAUGAAAAAAAAAAACGUUCUGAUAAACAUUGCUAUUGUUUCCGCGAGUUAGUGGACCGUCACAGCUUCGAAGCCAUUUGGUGCGUCAUAAGAAGGAAAGAAUGCAUCCAUGUAAGCAUUGCGAUGUCAGCUGCGAGGAACGGUCGAUGCAGACCGCACACUUAAAAAACCAUGCGAACGAGCGGCCGCGCGCUUCUAAAUUUUGUGGCAACACCAAGAGUUCGUCAAAGGAUCCAUGCCGGGGAAAAGUCGCACAUUUGUAUCUUCUGUGACAAAGGUUUUACCCUUCCGUGGUAGCUGAAGGUCCACACGAACGAACAAUCAUUCGAAUGUCGCUGUCAGAAACGAUUCAACUAGAAUGGUACCCAUGAUACAUACUCGAAUUCACACGGGCGAGCGACUCUUCAAGUGUACCCAGUGCGAAAAGACCUACCCGAGUCAGGGUGAACUUGGCCGGAGGCCAAAUCACAAGGGUUCGUUCCUGCCGGAUGUGUCUUCAAAUUUAUCGCGGAGCCGACAUGCAAGAGGACAAUCCAUUUAAAUUACAGCUGGAGAAUAGUUGUCCAGGCACAAAGUCACAGGCACAGAGGCA
Long non-coding RNA from Uranotaenia lowii, 626 nucleotides. RefSeq lists it as uncharacterized. The record is from RefSeq and is a predicted model, not a curated record. The transcript has 3 exons. NCBI's taxonomy places the organism in Eukaryota, Metazoa, Arthropoda, Insecta, Diptera, Culicidae.